Molecule: long non-coding RNA, 1030 nt
Filed under: Homo sapiens (human)
Lineage: Eukaryota; Metazoa; Chordata; Mammalia; Primates; Hominidae
Description: HSALNT0220443
Source: RNAcentral
UCUGCCCUGUGAGGAUGCAGCAAGAAAACCCUCACCAGAUGCCAGUGCCUUGAUCUUGGACUUCCCAGCCCCCAGAGCUGACUAGAUCGCUAGCUGGCCCUUUGAUUUAACUCUUCAUCUACCAUAGUCAGGUGCCACAGCUUGAUGAACGAGAUAGAAUCGCACAAUGGGAUCAAAGGGACAGCCAGCCCAGUUUAUUUCCAGAGGAAAAGCUUACCAGGACACAAAGGAGGAAAAAAGACUCGGCUUGAAACCAAUUCUUCCCUGAAGUACAAAUAUCUUUGAUGCUAAAAGCAGAAUGGACUGAGAGAUGCCUUGGACAUAAGUGAUUUCACAUCUGUAACUAUAUCCUGCAAACAUUUGUAGACACAUCUUGGGAAAGAAGCACUCAUGCUUGCAUCUGUUUCCAACAUCUGUGCAUUUAAGUCAGCAACAAAAGUCACCAGGCAUUUGAGCUUUCCCUGCUAUAAUGUUUCUGAUUUACCUUGACAGCGUGAGUAAUCCAAUCAAAGACAAUAUUCCUCUUGAUUUCAGUAAUGAGAGAGACUACACUUAUCUGAAACCUGUGUUACAUUCAUCUCACCAAUACAGUACUAAUGAAAAGGACAAAUAACUGAGUCUCUCUUGGUGGCCUGCAUGCAACUGCUUAAAUACAUAAGUGCAUAGCAACAAUAUGUGAAUAACAUAUAAAAAUAAAUAUGUUCAAGUGCAGCAGGGUGAGUGGGUUUUGUAGGGUCAGUGGCGUGAAUGGGGGUUAAUUUCUGUUCAGUCAGGUGAGGUACAAAUGCAUCAACUUUGCUGGAAAAUAGUUCCAAUUGUGGCUAAAUGGUCUAGUUUCCUGCAGGAUACAAGCAGCCUAUUAUUUAGUGUUUUAAAAGGCUUGUUCAAAUUUGACCAUUUGUAUGGGAAUCAAUACAACAGAGGAUGGGGACAAAUAUCAGAGGUCACACCAAGCACAUCAUCAAGGGCAGGUCCAAGUGCCCAUAAUUUCUCCAAUAAUCCAGGGGACAAAACCCCUUUUGGUCUGGUG